GUUGGUGGAGUGAUUUGUCUGGUUAAUUCCGAUAACGAACGAGACCUCAGCCUGCUAAAUAGUUAUGCGAAUUCUUUAUGAAUUCGUGAUUAACUUCUUAGAGGGACAUUUGGAUUUCAGCCAAAGGAAGUUUGAGGCAAUAACAGGUCU
This 150-nucleotide ribosomal RNA is filed under the name uncultured eukaryote. RNAcentral's name for it is "partial small subunit ribosomal RNA". It matches the Rfam family "Eukaryotic small subunit ribosomal RNA", at positions 1297 to 1463 of the family's 1831-position model. The record is from RNAcentral.